Molecule: ribosomal RNA, 505 nt
Filed under: uncultured bacterium
Lineage: Bacteria
Description: partial 16S ribosomal RNA
Rfam family: Bacterial small subunit ribosomal RNA
Source: RNAcentral
GACGAACGCUGGCGGCGUGCCUAAUACAUGCAAGUAGAACGCACAGUUUAUACCGUAGCUUGCUACACCAUAGACUGUGAGUUGCGAACGGGUGAGUAACGCGUAGGUAACCUGCCUGGUAGCGGGGGAUAACUAUUGGAAACGAUAGCUAAUACCGCAUAAUAUUGAUUAUUGCAUGAUAAUUGAUUGAAAGAUGCUAUUGCAUCACUACCAGAUGGACCUGCGUUGUAUUAGCUAGUAGGUGAGGUAACGGCUCACCUAGGCGACGAUACAUAGCCGACCUGAGAGGGUGAUCGGCCAAACUGGGACUGAGACACGGCCCAGACUCCUACGGGAGGCAGCAGUAGGGAAUCUUCGGCAAUGGACGAAAGUCUGACCGAGAAACGCCGCGUGAGUGAAGAAGGUUUUCGGAUCGUAAAGCUCUGUUGUAAGGGAAGAACGGGUGUGAGAGUGGAAAGUUCACACUGUGACGGUAUCUUAACAGAAAGGGACGGCUAACUACGUG